CGAUAGCAUGUUCCUUUGUUGCCUCCAAGCAGUCGGCAGCAGAUUUUUCGCUAUCGGAAACGAAAGCUUGGAUCUUUUUCACCCAGGGUCUACUCAAGAAAGAUAUUUUUUAUCUUUCUGCACCAAUUGUAGACUCUGGUUUUGCGGAUCCAGACAUUU
Molecule: small nucleolar RNA, 159 nt
Filed under: Ixodes scapularis (black-legged tick)
Lineage: Eukaryota; Metazoa; Arthropoda; Arachnida; Ixodida; Ixodidae
Description: Small nucleolar RNA SNORA79
Rfam family: Small nucleolar RNA SNORA79
About the family: ACA65 (SNORA79) is a member of the H/ACA class of snoRNAs that guide the sites of modification of uridines to pseudouridines. This snoRNA was identified by computational screening and its expression in mouse experimentally verified by Northern blot and primer extension analysis.
Source: Rfam by way of RNAcentral